This 301-nucleotide ribosomal RNA is filed under the name uncultured bacterium. Its description in RNAcentral is "partial 16S ribosomal RNA". It matches the Rfam family "Bacterial small subunit ribosomal RNA", at positions 509 to 809 of the family's 1533-position model. The record is from RNAcentral.
CAGCCGCCGCGGGAAUACGAAGGGUGCAAGCGUUAAUCGGAAUUACUGGGCGUAAAGCGUGCGUAGGCGGUGAGUUAAGUCUGCUGUGAAAUCCCCGGGCUCAACCUGGGAAUGGCAGUGGAUACUGGCUCGCUAGAGUGUGUCGGAGGAUGGUGGAAUUCCCGGUGUAGCGGUGAAAUGCGUAGAGAUCGGGAGGAACAUCAGUGGCGAAGGCGGCCAUCUGGGACAACACUGACGCUGAGGCACGAAAGCGUGGGGAGCAAACAGGAUUAGAUACCCCCGUAGUCCCUGUCUCUUAUAA